Molecule: ribosomal RNA, 550 nt
Filed under: uncultured bacterium
Lineage: Bacteria
Description: bacterial SSU rRNA
Rfam family: Bacterial small subunit ribosomal RNA
Source: RNAcentral
UGGGGAAUCUUCCGCAAUGGACGAAAGUCUGACGGAGCAACGCCGCGUGAGUGAUGACGGCCUUCGGGUUGUAAAGCUCUGUUAAUCGGGACGAAAGGCCUUCUUGCGAAUAGUUAGAAGGAUUGACGGUACCGGAAUAGAAAGCCACGGCUAACUACGUGCCAGCAGCCGCGGUAAUACGUAGGUGGCAAGCGUUGUCCGGAAUUAUUGGGCGUAAAGCGCGCGCAGGCGGAUUGGUCAGUCUGUCUUAAAAGUUCGGGGCUUAACCCCGUGAUGGGAUGGAAACUGCCAAUCUAGAGUACCGGAGAGGAAAGUGGAAUUCCUAGUGUAGCGGUGAAAUGCGUAGAUAUUAGGAAGAACACCAGUGGCGAAGGCGACUUUCUGGACGAAAACUGACGCUGAGGCGCGAAAGCCAGGGGAGCGAACGGGAUUAGAUACCCCGGUAGUCCUGGCCGUAAACGAUGGGUACUAGGUGUAGGAGGUAUCGACCCCUUCUGUGCCGGAGUUAACGCAAUAAGUACCCCGCCUGGGGAGUACGACCGCAAGGUUG